RNAcentral lists this non-coding RNA (115 nucleotides) under Vibrio sp. Its description in RNAcentral is "Glycine sequence". It matches the Rfam family "Glycine riboswitch aptamer". From Rfam's summary of the family: This family represents the bacterial glycine riboswitch. Lineage: Bacteria; Pseudomonadati; Pseudomonadota; Gammaproteobacteria; Vibrionales; Vibrionaceae. RNAcentral also lists the same sequence under 1 other name. The record is from RNAcentral.
GGAGGAACCUCUGGAGAGAGCCGUACUACUUAGUGGUAGAAAUCGGCCGCCGAAGGAGCAAGCUUUGCGCAUAUCGCAGAGUGAAACUCUCAGGCAAAAGGACAGAGGAGCGAAA